Molecule: ribosomal RNA, 381 nt
Filed under: uncultured bacterium
Lineage: Bacteria
Description: bacterial SSU rRNA
Rfam family: Bacterial small subunit ribosomal RNA
Source: RNAcentral
GGACCUUACCUAGACUUGACAUUCCGGGGAUUUUUUGGAAACAGAGAGGUGCUUUACCGAAAAGGAACCCGAACACAGGUGCUGCAUGGCUGUUGUCAGCUCGUGUCGUGAGAUGUUGGGUUAAGUCCCGCAACGAGCGCAACCCUUGCCUUUAAUUGCCACCAUUCAGUUGGGCACUCUAAAGAGACUGCCGGUGUCAAACCGGAGGAAGGUGGGGAUGACGUCAAGUCCUCAUGGCCUUUAUGUCUAGGGCUACACACGUAAUACAAUGGCCGGUACAAAGGGCUGCCAACCCGCGAGGGGGAGCCAAUCCCCAAAAGCCGGUCUCAGUCCGGAUCGCAGUCUGCAACUCGACUCCGUGAAGUGGGAAUCGCUAGUAAU